Molecule: long non-coding RNA, 1303 nt
Organism: Esox lucius (northern pike)
Lineage: Eukaryota; Metazoa; Chordata; Actinopteri; Esociformes; Esocidae
Source: Ensembl
GAGAAAUUCUGCAAACACACACUACUGAGACAGAAGCUGUUCAGUCAACUGGGUAAGACAGAGACUUUAUUAUCAGAUUUUGAUGCUUAGAAUUAUUCUUUAAAGAAUCAAAUAGCAAAUUUUUAUGUUUCAGGAGCAAGGCCUAAGAAACCAAAGUUUCAAAAUAAUCAAUGUUAAUCUGAACAAAGGUGCUGGAGGAAAUAAUAUUUACCUCUGGUACAAGAAGGGAAGCAGCAAUCCCAUCACCAGAUUGCAGGUUACAUUCACAGAUGAAAUGCAAAUUGGUUUGAGGAACGCAGGUUACCAUAAGGUGGAUAAAGACCUCAAUGCAGGGGCUGGAGGAGAUAACAUCUUUCUCUGGUGCUACAAAGGUACAACUGAGUAUGACAACCCUAUAGUGGAACUUAAGGUCACCACAGAUGCAACAGAUGAAGCCCAAAUUUACCAGAAAGGCUGGGAACGACUGGCGUGUGACCUGAAUCGCAAUGCUAACGACAACUGGAUCCAUGUUUGGGUGAAGAAAGAGAAGAAAAUGUACAUCUCUGACAUCAAGGCAACUACCUCUUUUGCAUUUGAUAACGAGUAUUUUUCCCAGGGCUACACCCGUGUGGAUGAAAAUGUGAAUCGAGAUGCAGGAGAACGCUCUAUCUUUCUUUGGUAUCGUCAUUCUCUAACACAGUCCCAAAGCAUCAAUCUCCUGGAUGUCUCCACUAACAAUGAGGAAGAGGAAAGCCUUCAGAUACAGGGUUAUACCUGUGUUGGUGUUAAUCUCAAUGAAGGAACAGGAGGCCCCCCGAUAAAUGCCUGGUACAAGAAGGGUUCAGACCAUGCCAUCCAGACCAUCACUGUAAUCAUUCAACAAGAAGUGAGUCCUUAUGAAAAGGCUGGCAUCCAUGUCAUUGGAAAAAAUCUGAAUACAGACAACAAUGGCACCCCCUUGUACCUGGCAUACCAAUGAGAUCAGGGGUUUCAUUUUCUGUAUGCCAGGUGAUCAGUAUACCUGUCAAAUUAGCGUAGCAAUACAUAGCUUAGUACAAGAUAGCACAACAACACAAAUACCAUGUAACAUGUUAAAGCAAACCUGUGGAUCAAGUCAGUUUAACACAGUCUUCAUGCAUUUCUUGCAUUUAAUCUUCUAAACAGAUUGUAUUUGAGAUAUCUAUAUUGUUGUUGUUGUUACUGCUUAUGCCUUUUGUGAUAUGGGUCAACAUGAAUUACUUUGCUAACAAAUAAAAAAAAGUUCCAUAUCAAUAAUCAUUGUCAGUCUUUUUUCUCCUUGCCUGAUCAAUGACAACUCAACAGA